This 358-nucleotide unclassified non-coding RNA is filed under the name Hevea brasiliensis (rubber tree). Lineage: Eukaryota; Viridiplantae; Streptophyta; Magnoliopsida; Malpighiales; Euphorbiaceae. The record is from RNAcentral.
AACAGGCCCUGACCUGUUCUUCCAUUUCUGAUUAUCACCAUUCAUCUGAAUAAUUCGAUCCUCGAUCUCACCCAACUUCUUUCCGAACCUCUCAAAAGCUGAAAGUGGUUCUUGAUCCUUUGUCCAUUCAGGUGAGUCCCUCUGUCCGAGGUAAAGGGUAUCCGAAGCAUGCCUUGACAAGAGCUCUAUAAGGGAAAUUCCAACCAAUGUCUGCAGCUGAGGAGUGAUUGUUUUGAGGAAUACAUUAUCUGGAUUUCUCUUCAGCUCUUCAUACUCAGCACUUCCUGGCUCUGGCAUGAAUUUCCGGCUUAAUGUAGGCCGAUUAGGGAGAUAACCAGCAUAAGGGUAUUGCCCAAAA